RNAcentral lists this ribosomal RNA (1132 nucleotides) under uncultured Orbilia. RNAcentral's name for it is "SSU rRNA". It matches the Rfam family "Eukaryotic small subunit ribosomal RNA", at positions 19 to 1162 of the family's 1831-position model. The record is from RNAcentral. Lineage: Eukaryota; Fungi; Ascomycota; Orbiliomycetes; Orbiliales; Orbiliaceae.
UGUAGUCAUAUGCUUGUCUCACAUAUUAAGCCAUGCAUGUCUAAGUAUAAGCAACUAUACAGUGAAACUGCGAAUGGCUCAUUAAAUCAGUUAUCGUUUAUUUGAUAGUACCUUACUACUUGGAUAACCGUGGUAAUUCUAGAGCUAAUACAUGCUAAAAAUCCCGACCUCCGGAAGGGAUGUAUUUAUUAGAUAAAAAACCAAUGCCCUCGGGCUCCUUGGUGAUUCAUGAUAACUUAACGAAUCGCAUGGCCUUGCGCCGGCGAUGGUUCAUUCAAAUUUCUGCCCUAUCAACUUUCGAUGGUAGGAUAGUGGCCUACCAUGGUUUCAACGGGUAACGGGGAAUUAGGGUUCGAUUCCGGAGAGGGAGCCUGAGAAACGGCUACCACAUCCAAGGAAGGCAGCAGGCGCGCAAAUUACCCAAUCCCAAUUCGGGGAGGUAGUGACAAUAAAUACUGAUACAGGGCUCUUUUGGGUCUUGUAAUUGGAAUGAGUACAAUUUAAAUCCCUUAACGAGGAACAAUUGGAGGGCAAGUCUGGUGCCAGCAGCCGCGGUAAUUCCAGCCCCAAUAGCGUAUAUUAAAGUUGUUGCAGUUAAAAAGCUCGUAGUUGAACCUUGGGUCUGGCUGCUCGGUCCGCCUAACCGCGUGCACUGAUGCGGCCGGAUCUUUCCUUCUGGCUAACCUCAUGCCGUUUACUCGGUGUGCUGGGGAUCCAGGACUUUUACUUUGAAAAAAUUAGAGUGUUCAAAGCAGGCCUUUGCUCGAAUACAUUAGCAUGGAAUAAUAGAAUAGGACGGCGGUUCUAUUUUGUUGGUUUCUAGAGCCACCGUAAUGAUUAAUAGGGAUAGUCGGGGGCAUCAGUAUUCAAUUGUCAGAGGUGAAAUUCUUGGAUUUAUUGGAGACUAACUACUGCGAAAGCAUUUGCCAAGGAUGUCUUCAUUAAUCAGUGAACGAAAGUUAGGGGAUCGAAGACGAUCAGAUACCGUCGUAGUCUUAACCAUAAACUAUGCCGACUAGGGAUCGGGCGGUGUUCUACUUAUGACCCGCUCGGCACCUUACGAGAAAUCAAAGUUUUUGGGUUCUGGGGGGAGUAUGGUCAAAGGGCUGAAACUUAAAGGAAUUGACGGAAG